This is a long non-coding RNA of Octopus sinensis (East Asian common octopus), 154 nucleotides long. RefSeq lists it as uncharacterized. The record is from RefSeq and is a predicted model, not a curated record. The transcript is spliced from 3 exons. Lineage: Eukaryota; Metazoa; Mollusca; Cephalopoda; Octopoda; Octopodidae.
CAUUUUUAGUAUUCUCGUUUAUGAGAGCAGUCGAGUUUAUUUCAGAUAUUCCCAUUUUAAAAAUCAUCUCCGGCUAAUCAUUGAAAGAACAUUGGUGUUACCUUGGCAGAAGUUUGCGCUCUCUAAGUGCUCUUAUUAUUUAUAGUCAAGGUGG